GGGGCGGUAGCUCAGUUGGUAGAGCACGGGCUUUGCAAGCUCGGGGUCGAGGGUUCGAGUCCCUUCCGCUCCA
Molecule: transfer RNA, 73 nt
Filed under: Pseudomonadota bacterium
Lineage: Bacteria; Pseudomonadati; Pseudomonadota
Also listed under: 1 other name
Description: tRNA-Ala
Rfam family: tRNA
About the family: Transfer RNA (tRNA) molecules are approximately 80 nucleotides in length.
Source: RNAcentral